CCUACGGGAGGCAGCAGUGAGGAAUAUUGGUCAAUGGCCGGAAGGCUGAACCAGCCAUGCCGCGUGAAGGUCAGUGCCCUAUGGGCGUUAAACUUCUUUUGUGCGGGAGCAAUAAUGGUCACGUGUGGCCAGACGAGAGUACCGUACGAAUAAGCAUCGGCUCACUCCGUGCCAGCAGCCGCGGUAAUACGGGGGAUGCAAGCGUUAUCCGGAUUUAUUGGGUUUAAAGGGUGCGUAGGCUGGGAGGUAAGCCAGCGGUGAAAUGCCCCCGCGCAACGGGGUGAAGUGCCAUUGAUACUGCCUGGCUGGAAUGCGGAUGCGGUGGGAGGAAUGUGUGGUGUAGCGGUGAAAUGCAUAGAUAUCACACAGAACACCGAUUGCGAAGGCAUCUCACGAAUCCGCGAUUGACGCUGAUGCACGAAAGCGUGGGUAUCAAACAGGAUUAGAUACCCCUGUAGUC
Molecule: ribosomal RNA, 460 nt
Filed under: uncultured bacterium
Lineage: Bacteria
Description: partial 16S ribosomal RNA
Rfam family: Bacterial small subunit ribosomal RNA
Source: RNAcentral